This 724-nucleotide ribosomal RNA is filed under the name Salmonella enterica subsp. enterica serovar Infantis. RNAcentral's name for it is "partial 23S ribosomal RNA". It matches the Rfam family "Bacterial large subunit ribosomal RNA", at positions 711 to 1350 of the family's 2925-position model. Lineage: Bacteria; Pseudomonadati; Pseudomonadota; Gammaproteobacteria; Enterobacterales; Enterobacteriaceae. The record is from RNAcentral.
AGACCCGAAACCCGGUGAUCUAGCCAUGGGCAGGUUGAAGGUUGGGUAACACUAACUGGAGGACCGAACCGACUAAUGUUGAAAAAUUAGCGGAUGACCUGUGGCUGGGGGUGAAAGGCCAAUCAAACCGGGAGAUAGCUGGUUCUCCCCGAAAGCUAUUUAGGUAGCGCCUCGUGAAUUCAUCUCCGGGGGUAGAGCACUGUUUCGGCUAGGGGGCCAUCCCGGCUUACCAACCCGAUGCAAACUGCGAAUACCGGAGAAUGUUAUCACGGGAGACACACGGCGGGUGCUAACGUCCGUCGUGAAGAGGGAAACAACCCAGACCGCCAGCUAAGGUCCCAAAGUCAUGGUUAAGUGGGAAACGAUGUGGGAAGGCCCAGACAGCCAGGAUGUUGGCUUAGAAGCAGCCAUCAUUUAAAGAAAGCGUAAUAGCUCACUGGUCGAGUCGGCCUGCGCGGAAGAUGUAACGGGGCUAAACCAUGCACCGAAGCUGCGGCAGCGAACGUAUCACUUAAAGCGAUUCAGCGGGUUACGAUUGACGGAGCGAAGCGACGUCAAAGCGUAUACAAAGUCGAGUCGGUUUAAGGAUACGUUCGUUGGGUAGGGGAGCGUUCUGUAAGCCUGCGAAGGUGGCCUGUGAGGGUUGCUGGAGGUAUCAGAAGUGCGAAUGCUGACAUAAGUAACGAUAAAGCGGGUGAAAAGCCCGCUCGCCGGAAGACCAAGG